Molecule: ribosomal RNA, 1381 nt
Filed under: metagenome
Description: SSU rRNA
Rfam family: Eukaryotic small subunit ribosomal RNA
Source: RNAcentral
CCCGACUUUAUGGAAGGGUGGUAUUUAUUAGACUGAAGCCAAUAUUCCUUGUGUCUAUUGCGGUGAUUCAUAAUAACUGAUCGAAUCUCUUUUUGAGAUAAAUCAUUCGAGUUUCUGCCCUAUCAGCUUUCGAUGGUAGUGUAUUGGACUACCAUGGCAGUAACGGGUAACGAAGAAUUAGGGUUCGAUUUCGGAGAGGGAGCAUGAGAAACGGCUACCACAUCUAAGUAAGGCAGCAGGCGCGUAAAUUACCCAAUCCUGACUCAGGGAGGUAGUGACAAGAAAUAGCAAACCGGGAACCUCAUGGUUUCACGGUAUUGCAAUGAGAACAAUUUAAAACCCUUAGCGAGAAUCAAGUGGAGGACAAGUCUGGUGCCAGCACCCGCGGUAAUUCCAGCUCCACUAGCGUAUAUUAAAGUUGUUGCAGUUAAAAAGCUCGUAGUUGAACCUCUGUCUGGGGCUAGUUUUGGCUUUGGUCAGGCUAGUUCUAGGCAUCCGCCUACAAGACUUAGAGGGCAUUCAGUUGUUCACUAGGAGGAGUAGGCAUUUUACUUUGAAAAAAUUAGAGUGUUUAAGGCAGGCAAUCGCCCGCAUAUAUUAGCAUGGAAUAAUAGAAUAGGACACUUUUCCAUUUCGUUGGUUAUUGGAAUCGUGUAAUGAUUAAUAGGGACAGUUGUGGGCAUUUGUAUUUAAUUGUCAGAGGUGAAAUUCUUGGAUUUAUUAAAGACAAACUAACGCGAAAGCAUUUGCCAAGGAUGUUUUCAUUAAUCAAGAACGAAAGUUAGGGGAUCAAAGACGAUCAGAUACCGUCCUAGUCUUAACUAUAAACUAUUCCGACUCAAUGUUUGACUGGCUUAUAUAACCAGUUGAGCGUUGUAUGAGAAAUCAAAGUCUUUAGGUUCUGGGGGGAGUAUGGUUGCAAAGCUGAAACUUGAAGGAAUUGACGGAAGAGCACAACCAGGAGUGGAUUCUGCGGCUUAAUUUGACUCAACACGGGGAAACUUACCAGGUUAAAACAAUAGUGGGAUUGACAGUUUGAGAGCGCUUUCUUGAUUGGUUGGGUGGUGGUGCAUGGCCGUUCUUAGUUGGUGGAGUGAUUUGUCUGCUUAAUUGCGUUAACGAACGAGACCUUAACCUGCUUACUAGACUGGCGAUCAUCAAUCGUUAGCUCUUCUUAGAGGGACUUUGGUUGUUUUAACUCCAAGGAAGUUUGAGGCAAUAACAGGUCUGUGAUGCCCUUAGAUAUCCUGGGCCGCACGCGUCAUACAAUGACUAGUUCAGAAAGUUUUCUCCUGACCCGAAAGGGGAUGGGUAAUCUUGAUAAUACUAGUCGUGUUAGGGAUCGAUCUUUGCAAUUAUAGAUCUUGAACGAGGAAUUCCU